RNAcentral lists this ribosomal RNA (500 nucleotides) under uncultured bacterium. Its description in RNAcentral is "partial 16S ribosomal RNA". It matches the Rfam family "Bacterial small subunit ribosomal RNA", at positions 30 to 523 of the family's 1533-position model. The record is from RNAcentral.
AUUGAACGCUGGCGGCAUGCCUUACACAUGCAAGUCGAACGGUAACGGGUCCUUCGGGAUGCCGACGAGUGGCGAACGGGUGAGUAAUAUAUCGGAACGUGCCCAGUAGUGGGGGAUAACUGCUCGAAAGAGCAGCUAAUACCGCAUACGACCUGAGGGUGAAAGGGGGGGAUCGCAAGAACUCUUGCUAUUGGAGCGGCCGAUAUCAGAUUAGCUAGCUGGUGGGGUAAAGGCCUACCAAGGAAACGAUCUGUAGUUGGUCUGAGAGGACGAUCAGCCACACUGGGACUGAGACACGGCCCAGACUCCUACGGGAGGCAGCAGUGGGGAAUUUUGGACAAUGGGCGCAAGCCUGAUCCAGCAAUGCCGCGUGCAGGAAGAAGGCCUUCGGGUUGUAAACUGCUUUUGUCAGGGAAGAAAUCUUCUGGGCUAAUACCCCGGGAGGAUGACGGUACCUGAAGAAUAAGCACCGGCUAACUACGUGCCAGCCGCCGCCGUAA